RNAcentral lists this transfer RNA (84 nucleotides) under Sarcina sp. DSM 11001. It matches the Rfam family "tRNA". Rfam says of the family: Transfer RNA (tRNA) molecules are approximately 80 nucleotides in length. Their secondary structure includes four short double-helical elements and three loops (D, anti-codon, and T loops). The record is from Rfam by way of RNAcentral. Lineage: Bacteria; Bacillati; Bacillota; Clostridia; Eubacteriales; Clostridiaceae.
GCUCGGGUGCGAAACUGGUAAACAGGCAUGACUAAGAAUCAUGUGCUCCUUGAGAGCUUGCGGGUUCAAAUCCCGCCCCGAGUA